Long non-coding RNA from Ornithodoros turicata, 1024 nucleotides. RefSeq lists it as uncharacterized. The record is from RefSeq and is a predicted model, not a curated record. The transcript has 3 exons. Lineage: Eukaryota; Metazoa; Arthropoda; Arachnida; Ixodida; Argasidae.
GGUUAUGCACGCCAGUUUGUAACUCAAACGGAAGUUGGGUAAGGUGAGGACAGAUUCAGAUGAAAUCGGCACGUCGACAGCGAAGCCGCUGUCCAUAAAAUUCAAUCGCAAAUAAUUCGUUACGAAUUUAAUUCAGCUAUUUUACGGAAGCUCUGAAGAUCAUAAGAAAGCGCGCAACAACACUUCUUUUAGCUUUCGUUUUGGAUCCGGAAAUGGUAGUUCCUGCAGUACUUUCCCGUCAUUUCGAGCUAUCGUCGCUCUGCCGUUCCAAUACCAACCUCUCCCUGUGCGCAUGUCAAGGCUAACAAAUGUUGAGCUAUAACAGGGGAUCGCAUGUCUGACCUCCAGGUUCUGCAUGGAUGAGUUUCCGUCUUCUGUUUGCCUUAUACGAACAGGGGUUUCCCAGACGAAAGCUAAAUCUGCGUUAAGCGCAACUGAUCCCCGACAGAGUGGUGCGGGGACAUUCUAUUGUUAAUGCACAGUUCCGCUACGAUGUUAUUUCAUAAUAGCUUUGUGACAGAAAAGAAAACAAGGAGCAUGAGAGAGACGGAAUGUCCAUAGCGCCACUGGACCGUCCAAUUCUCCCUAUAUAAUGCGGUAUGCGCAUACCCGUCUGCAUACCCGUCGCAGCGCUCCCCGUAAAGAUACGUCAGUCGACGAUGGCACCACGGCUAGGAAUCUGGUCUCUCUGUGCUUGCCUCUUGUUGGUGUUCUUGGCCUCGCAUUGUGCUGAUGCCCAGUUUGGGUUUCGAGGAAGAUUCUGUGGUCCUGGGGCUGUCUAUUCAAACUGUGGUUCUGCGUGUCCUCGCGUCUGCGGAAGACCACCUCCGAGGUUCUGUACUUUCCAGUGUGUCCCAGGCUGUGUCUGCCGUCCCGGAUUUAUCCUGGACCCUUACCGCUCCCGAUGCAUUCCUCAAUUCUACUGUCGACCGUUCUACGGUUGAUCAGAGGGAUCGAUGACAUGGCCACGCAUUCCCCACAGCAGAGAACUGUACGUUAGAGGGAAAUAAAAACACCGUUCUGA